Molecule: long non-coding RNA, 222 nt
Filed under: Elaeis guineensis (African oil palm)
Lineage: Eukaryota; Viridiplantae; Streptophyta; Magnoliopsida; Arecales; Arecaceae
Description: long non-coding RNA (EGUI_LNC008185)
Source: RNAcentral
GAUAUGAUUUUACUUUUAAGAAAGUUCAAAAAGUUUCUCAUAAAGAAAAACUUGAAGAAGAAAGAAAAUGAAGAAAAAAAAUAAAAGAAAAAUGUCACUUGCUAUAAUUGCAACAAGAGAAGUCACCACAAGUUGGAUUGCCUCUUACUCAAGAAGCAUCCAAAAAGGAUCAAGGAAAAAGUAAUGCUUGGUAUUUAGGGAGAUAGUGACAUUUCAAGCUCC